UACGUAGGGGGCAAGCGUUAUCCGGAUUUACUGGGUGUAAAGGGAGCGUAGGCGGUGCAGCAAGUCAGAAGUGAAAGCCCGGGGCUCAACCCCGGGCAUGCAUUGGAAACUGGCGGGCUGGAGUGCCGGAGAGGUAAGCGGAAUUCCUAGUGUAGCGGUGAAAUGCGUAGAUAUUAGGAGGAACACCAGUGGCGAAGGCGGCUUACUGGACGGCAACUGACGCUGAGGCUCGAAAGCGUGGGGAGCAAACAGG
RNAcentral lists this ribosomal RNA (253 nucleotides) under uncultured bacterium. Its description in RNAcentral is "partial 16S ribosomal RNA". It matches the Rfam family "Bacterial small subunit ribosomal RNA", at positions 524 to 776 of the family's 1533-position model. The record is from RNAcentral.